CCUACGGGAGGCAGCAGUGGGGAAUCUUGCGCAAUGGGCGAAAGCCUGACGCAGCGACGCCGCGUGGGGGAAGAAGGCCUUAGGGUUGUAAACCUCUUUCAGGUGGGACGAAGCCACUCGGGUUAAUAGCCCAGAGGGUGACGGUACCGCCAGAAGAAGCCCCGGCUAACUACGUGCCAGCAGCCGCGGUAAUACGUAGGGGGCAAGCGUUGUCCGGAUUUAUUGGGCGUAAAGAGCGUGUAGGCGGCUAGGUAGGUGGGUUGUGAAAACUGGAGGCUCAACCUUCAGACGUCGACCCAAACCCCCUGGCUAGAGUCCGGAAGAGGAGAGUGGAAUUCCUGGUGUAGCGGUGAAAUGCGCAGAUAUCAGGAAGAACACCCGUGGCGAAGGCGGCUCUCUGGGACGGUACUGACGCUGAGACGCGAAAGCGUGGGGAGCGAACAGGAUUAGAUACCCUGGUAGUCCACGCCGUAAACGAUGGGUGCUAGGUGUGGGGGGUGUCGACUCCCCCGUGCCGAAGCUAACGCAUUAAGCACCCGCCUGGGGAGUACGGCCGCAAGGCUAAAACGUCAAAUGAAUUGACGG
This 585-nucleotide ribosomal RNA is filed under the name uncultured bacterium. RNAcentral describes it as "bacterial SSU rRNA". It matches the Rfam family "Bacterial small subunit ribosomal RNA", at positions 338 to 916 of the family's 1533-position model. The record is from RNAcentral.